AGUGAACGCUGGCGGUAGGCCUAACACAUGCAAGUCGAACGGCAGCACAGUAAGAGCUUGCUCUUACGGGUGGCGAGUGGCGGACGGGUGAGGAAUACAUCGGAAACUACUUUUUCGUGGGGGAUAACGUAGGGAAACUUACGCUAAUACCGCAUACGACCUACGGGUGAAAGCAGGGGAUCUUCGGACCUUGCGCGAUUGAAUGAGCCGAUGUCGGAUUAGCUAGUUGGCGGGGUAAAGGCCCACCAAGGCGACGAUCCGUAGCUGGUCUGAGAGGAUGAUCAGCCACACUGGAACUGAGACACGGUCCAGACUCCUACGGGAGGCGGCAGUGGGGAAUAUUGGACAAUGGGCGCAAGCCUGAUCCAGCCAUACCGCGUGGGUGAAGAAGGCCUUCGGGUUGUAAAGCCCUUUUGUUGGGAAAGAAAAGCAGCAGGUUAAUACCCCGCUGUUCUGACGGUACCCAAAGAAUAAGCACCGGCUAACUUCGUG
Molecule: ribosomal RNA, 492 nt
Filed under: uncultured bacterium
Lineage: Bacteria
Description: partial 16S ribosomal RNA
Rfam family: Bacterial small subunit ribosomal RNA
Source: RNAcentral